GCCUAAUUAGCAUAGUGGCUAAUGCGUUGCACUUGUAUUCCGUCGUACGACAUGCAAAGACCGUUGGUUCGAGUCCAGCAUUAGGCA
Molecule: non-coding RNA, 87 nt
Organism: Podospora conica
Lineage: Eukaryota; Fungi; Ascomycota; Sordariomycetes; Sordariales; Podosporaceae
Source: the annotation of a GenBank genome assembly